Molecule: long non-coding RNA, 564 nt
Organism: Drosophila pseudoobscura
Lineage: Eukaryota; Metazoa; Arthropoda; Insecta; Diptera; Drosophilidae
Exons: 2
Source: RefSeq, a predicted model, not a curated record
UGCUUUCUUUCUAAAAAAUUUUAUUUUAACCCAACCUCAAAUUAAGCUCGGAAAAACGGAGCCUGCCUGAAUAUAUCUUUACUUUCACGAAGUACCAUCCGGCCCUUAUAUCUCUCUAACUCACACGUGGCUGAACCCCCCACUGAACAAGAAAAAGAAAGGGAGAGCAAGAUCGUGAGGGGGAGUCAGCCACGUGAGCCAAGUGGUAGAUAUGAUGCUGCGUGCUCGGGUUUGUGGAUGCCGCACAUUUUAGGAAUGUAGGCGGCGGAAGGAGGCUGCACACAAAACCCGGUGGAUGUACAUAGAGUACAUGGCAUCCCUGUUGUAGUGUCACGUGGCGGUAUCGCACUCUUAGGGAUGUUCAUGAAAGUAUGUAUGAAUACCGUAAUUCUGCGCACUUCGCUAGGUUUUAAGUUCAGAUUAUUCACCAAAUAAUGAUUUUUUAUACUUUUAAAAUUAUUUUUCUUUAUUAUUCAACGCCGCUUGUUUUUUUUUCGACUUAAAAGCUAUAGUUUCUGGUGUCGAAUAUAUGAACGCAAGGCUGGAUAAAAUAUUAUCUUGGAA